AUGGGGGCCAAGGGGGUGGCAAUGGCAUCGUCGGCGGCGGGGACGGCGGCGCUGGUCUACGUCGUGCUAUCCGGACGGCUGUCCCCCGACGGCGCGGAGGAGGCGCCAAGGAGGCGGCACGGGCGGAGCGGCGUUGACGGGGAAAGCGAGGCGAGGUGGCCGGAGAGCGCGCCGGCGAGCUGGAGGGAGGCCGCGGCCGUGGCGGCGAGGACGGUGAGGUUCGCGUACGGCGAGACGCUGGGGAAGUGGCCGUUCGGGGACAUCGCCUUCGGGAUCAGCCACUACAUGCGCCUCCAGGUGAGUGAUCUGAUCACCACGCCACGAAAUCGAAUCAAAUGUUUCCAUCUGCUGGAACAGUCGCAGUGCCAGCCGUUUCUGCUUGCUCAUCACGAAUUGAGGAAAGGACACGCCUCGCUUGAUUUUGCUUAG
Molecule: ribosomal RNA, 429 nt
Filed under: Triticum aestivum (bread wheat)
Lineage: Eukaryota; Viridiplantae; Streptophyta; Magnoliopsida; Poales; Poaceae
Description: partial small subunit ribosomal RNA
Source: RNAcentral